AUUGAACGCUGGCGGCAGGCCUAACACAUGCAAGUCGAGCGGAUGAAGGGAGCUUGCUCCUGGAUUCAGCGGCGGACGGGUGAGUAAUGCCUAGGAAUCUGCCUGGUAGUGGGGGAUAACGUCCGGAAACGGGCGCUAAUACCGCAUACGUCCUGAGGGAGAAAGUGGGGGAUCUUCGGACCUCACGCUCUCAGAUGAGCCUAGGUCGGAUUAGCUAGUUGGUGGGGUAAAGGCCUACCAAGGCGACGAUCCGUAACUGGUCUGAGAGGAUGAUCAGUCACACUGGAACUGAGACACGGUCCAGACUCCUAAGGGAGGCAGCAGUGGGGAAUAUUGGACAAUGGGCGAAAGCCUGAUCCAGCCAGGCCGCGUGUGUGAAGAAGGUCUUCGGAUUGUAAAGCACUUUAAGUUGGGAGGAAGGGCAGUAAGUUAAUACCUUGCUGUUUUGACGUUACCAACAGAAUAAGCACCGGCUAACUUCGUG
RNAcentral lists this ribosomal RNA (484 nucleotides) under uncultured bacterium. RNAcentral's name for it is "partial 16S ribosomal RNA". It matches the Rfam family "Bacterial small subunit ribosomal RNA", at positions 30 to 507 of the family's 1533-position model. The record is from RNAcentral.